Molecule: long non-coding RNA, 211 nt
Filed under: Elaeis guineensis (African oil palm)
Lineage: Eukaryota; Viridiplantae; Streptophyta; Magnoliopsida; Arecales; Arecaceae
Description: long non-coding RNA (EGUI_LNC027404)
Source: RNAcentral
CGAUGAAACUUGGUCUCUGUUGUUGCUCUCCUUAAUUUAGGAUUUAAUCUUAGCUUUCAUAGUAAUGGUUUGGAUCUGUAUUUAGGAUAGAUCUGUUAUGGUUAUGGUUAUGUGUUGGAUAACUUUGUUGUACUUGAUAUGGAUGAUCGUAGCUAUGUUAAUUAUAUGGAUUGCUGUUUUUUUUCUAAUUUGUCCGUUUUUAACGUUAAUG